AGUGAACGCUGGCGGUAGGCCUAACACAUGCAAGUCGAACGGCAGCACAGUAAGAGCUUGCUCUUACGGGUGGCGAGUGGCGGACGGGUGAGGAAUACAUCGGAAUCUACUUUUUCGUGGGGGAUAAUGUAGGGAAACUUACGCUAAUACCGCAUACGACCUACGGGUGAAAGCAGGGGAUCUUCGGACCUUGCGCGAUUGAAUGAGCCGAUGUCGGAUUAGCUAGUUGGCGGGGUAAAGGCCCACCAAGGCGACGAUCCGUAGCUGGUCUGAGAGGAUGAUCAGCCACACUGGAAAUGAGACACGGUCCAGACUCCUACGGGAGGCGGCAGUGGGGAAUAUUGGACAACGGGCGCAAGCCUGAUCCAGCCAUACCGCGUGGGUGAAGAAGGCCUUCGGGUUGUAAAGCCCUUUUGAUGGGAAAGAAAAGCAGCAGGUUAAUACCCCGCUGUUCUGACGGUACCCAAAGAAUAAGCACCGGCUAACUUCGUG
This 492-nucleotide ribosomal RNA is filed under the name uncultured bacterium. RNAcentral describes it as "partial 16S ribosomal RNA". It matches the Rfam family "Bacterial small subunit ribosomal RNA", at positions 29 to 507 of the family's 1533-position model. The record is from RNAcentral.